GGGAAUGUGGCUUAGUGGUAGAGCGCUUGCCUAGCAUGCAUGAAACCCUGGGUUUGAUUCCUCAGUACCA
Non-coding RNA from Dipodomys ordii (Ord's kangaroo rat), 70 nucleotides. The record is from Rfam. Lineage: Eukaryota; Metazoa; Chordata; Mammalia; Rodentia; Heteromyidae.